This 585-nucleotide ribosomal RNA is filed under the name Klebsiella pneumoniae. RNAcentral's name for it is "bacterial SSU rRNA". It matches the Rfam family "Bacterial small subunit ribosomal RNA", at positions 1 to 573 of the family's 1533-position model. Lineage: Bacteria; Pseudomonadati; Pseudomonadota; Gammaproteobacteria; Enterobacterales; Enterobacteriaceae. The record is from RNAcentral.
ACUUAAAUUGAAGAGUUUGAUCAUGGCUCAGAUUGAACGCUGGCGGCAGGCCUAACACAUGCAAGUCGAGCGGUAGCACAGAGAGCUUGCUCUCGGGUGACGAGCGGCGGACGGGUGAGUAAUGUCUGGGAAACUGCCUGAUGGAGGGGGAUAACUACUGGAAACGGUAGCUAAUACCGCAUAAUGUCGCAAGACCAAAGUGGGGGACCUUCGGGCCUCAUGCCAUCAGAUGUGCCCAGAUGGGAUUAGCUUGUAGGUGGGGUAACGGCUCACCUAGGCGACGAUCCCUAGCUGGUCUGAGAGGAUGACCAGCCACACUGGAACUGAGACACGGUCCAGACUCCUACGGGAGGCAGCAGUGGGGAAUAUUGCACAAUGGGCGCAAGCCUGAUGCAGCCAUGCCGCGUGUGUGAAGAAGGCCUUCGGGUUGUAAAGCACUUUCAGCGGGGAGGAAGGCGGUGAGGUUAAUAACCUCAUCGAUUGACGUUACCCGCAGAAGAAGCACCGGCUAACUCCGUGCCAGCAGCCGCGGUAAUACGGAGGGUGCAAGCGUUAAUCGGAAUUACUGGGCGUAAAGCGCACGCA